Molecule: non-coding RNA, 74 nt
Organism: Aedes albopictus (Asian tiger mosquito)
Lineage: Eukaryota; Metazoa; Arthropoda; Insecta; Diptera; Culicidae
Source: Rfam
UGUUCUGUGACUUAGUUAGUUAAAGCGCCGGUCUAGCGAACACGGAGUCGUGGGUUCGAAUCCCAUCAGAACGC